CCCUUUUUUUUCCUUCUAUAAAAUUUAUUUGUAAACGAUUUUGUGUCUUAAUUUGUGUUUGCUAAUUAACUGCGGUUCAUGCUGUCAAAGGUAAAAAAUGUCUCCUUGUGUAUAAGUUAUUGAUAAAAAAAUAUUUGAAGCCGCCAGAAGAAUAAAUCAUUUCCUGAACUUAAAUACAUUUAUCUGUAAAUAAAGACAAUUUGCCUAAAACAUUCUCUCAUAUAUUUAAACAAUUGUAAAAAUAAUUAAUUCAACGACUUUCUUUUACUUUUUACUUUUCUUCUUCAGUUUUUUUUUUACCCAUUGCUCUUCAAUUACUGAUCACAAAUUUUUCGGAUGCUUUUUAUCCUAUUUUCGUAUCGAACUUACAUGUUAGCAGUUGAACGGAAUUAAGUACAUUUUUCAGGAAUUUACAACUUAAAUUUUCAACAACAAAAUUCCACACUUUUUUACUGGGAUUUUUUUUUUUCUGUUUUGAAGGCGCCACCAGUGACCCCGUAGCACACACAUAACCAACACCUCACAUGGCGUAUUCACGAUGUUGAGGUAUUGACAUACAAUCACAUUUAUCAAUAUACAGCAAGUAGGUAAUUUGGUGUUGAAUGCCAGUAGGUCAGAAUUUGUUAAUUGAAUUUUACCUGUAAAAGGGUCACUAGCUGUCAAAUUCAUGUUCAUCGAUUUUAAUCAAAUUCACAUAACGUGUGGUGUUGAAUUGUUUAUUAAAAUUCCACGCACAAUCUUGGCUGAUAUGCAUAAAACCAUUAUUUCAUGAACCUGCAUGAAAUAUUGACUUAUCACAGAACUAAAAAAAUAAACCACCGAAAGUCCACAUAAGAGAUCAUAAGAGGGUAUAGAGAAUAACGGGCAAAGAAAAAAAGGAAUAAAGAAUAGUGAAAGAAAGAGAAUAAUGGUAAAAAGUGUAAGUCAUUAAAAAUAUAGCUUAAAAAAAAAGAAGCCUCUUGCAUCAAUUUGAGGAAUUUACCCAAGAUUAAUUUUACGGCGGCUUAUUUUAUUUUGGAUUAAAAAUAAACACAAUUGACAAGUUUCCUUCCCCUGCAUUUUCGAUCGCACAUGUAAAUAGCACGUUGGUCUCAAAUAAGACACUGAUACAUUACAACACACUUGCCGUCAGUAUUUGAAAAUAUUAAUUAAGAAGGUAUAGAAAAUUAAUGCACGCACACUAUUAUCCACCACAGGCCUAAAUCGUUAGUCCGCAAACAACGAGGGUGAUAAAAAAAAGCACUUUGAACACAGCCACCGGCAUGCUAUGAAUUUGAAAGCUUCCCAAAUUAGUAACUAUCAAGUUCUAUUA
This 1312-nucleotide long non-coding RNA is filed under the name Mytilus galloprovincialis (Mediterranean mussel). The record is from RNAcentral. Lineage: Eukaryota; Metazoa; Mollusca; Bivalvia; Mytilida; Mytilidae.